GGAGAGGUGCCCGGAGUGGCUUAUCGGGGACCAGAGCUUCAUGUUCGGUCGGGCCCUUGAGGCCCACGCAGGUUCGAAUCCUGCCCUCUCCGCCA
This 95-nucleotide transfer RNA is filed under the name Streptomyces turgidiscabies. RNAcentral describes it as "tRNA-Met". It matches the Rfam family "tRNA". Rfam says of the family: Transfer RNA (tRNA) molecules are approximately 80 nucleotides in length. The record is from RNAcentral. Lineage: Bacteria; Bacillati; Actinomycetota; Actinomycetes; Kitasatosporales; Streptomycetaceae.